UGUCGUAUCAUAUCCAUGCCUCAGUUGACCUAGUGGUGUAUUUCGCCACUAUCGGCGGCUUACUCACUGAAAACUAUUGUUUAAUAGUUCUCACCCCCAUUGGUUGGUUAUUUUUUUCAGAGCCUUCCGCGACGGGAAAUGCUAGGGAUCGUGGAAAGGAGGCAGCGACUAGCUAGAGCCUCACGAUUUUAUGAUAGAUGAACCGAUGGAAUUAUUUUAAUGGCUUAGUUCUGUGGUGUAUAUUGU
Molecule: long non-coding RNA, 246 nt
Filed under: Ananas comosus (pineapple)
Lineage: Eukaryota; Viridiplantae; Streptophyta; Magnoliopsida; Poales; Bromeliaceae
Description: long non-coding RNA (ACOM_LNC030589)
Source: RNAcentral